UGGGCGGCAUAGCUGGGCGGCUGACUCAGUGCGCAGCGACCUGGCCGCGCCUGGCCCCCCGCGCACCUGGCGCACCUCGGCUCCGAGCUCCGACCCGCCGACCCGCGGGCCACUGCGAGGGCGCGUCCCGGGAUAGAGAUCGCCCCGGAGAGGAUGCCCGGGACCGCUCCCCCGCUCCUGCCAGCCGGUGGCCUCAGCGUUUCCCGAACUUGAGACUCACCUAAGGCGCUCGCUUUCCCAGGCUGCUCCCACUCAAGGUGCAUUCCGUGGGCCCCGGGGUCUGUUCACCACGCCCCGUGCCAACGAGUAAGCCGAGCCCAUUACAUAGGAUUCUCCUGCAAGUCAGCCCUGCAAGGAAGGGGUGACGAUCCCCUUUUUCUGAUGCAGUGUCCUGAUCUUUCCCCGGUACCUGUUGAUGGAAGUGGAGCCAUUAGGGAAAGCGGUGAACUUAUUAUGAAAAUGAGAUAAUUGGUGUCUGGGAUGUUCUGCCUAGUGACCUCUGUACCUGGCCCAUUCUCCUUGCUCUGCUCGUGUCUAUCUAACUGCCUACUACAGAUAGAGCAUGGACCCGCACACUGAAGGCUCUCGGGUUCGAUUCACAGUCAAGAGCACGUACCUGAGUUACAGAGCAUCUAGGGAAGGGAAGCGACCAUGGUGCCUGAGGCCAACUUUCAGGAGGCCGGUGGUGCUGGUCUUUUGGUGCCUGGCCCAUUCUCUGGA
This is a long non-coding RNA of Myotis lucifugus (little brown bat), 720 nucleotides long. RefSeq lists it as uncharacterized. Lineage: Eukaryota; Metazoa; Chordata; Mammalia; Chiroptera; Vespertilionidae. The record is from RefSeq and is a predicted model, not a curated record. The transcript is spliced from 5 exons.